This 98-nucleotide non-coding RNA is filed under the name Lachnospiraceae bacterium MD335. RNAcentral describes it as "Lachnospiraceae bacterium COE1 TPP riboswitch aptamer (THI element)". It matches the Rfam family "TPP riboswitch aptamer (THI element)". From Rfam's summary of the family: Vitamin B(1) in its active form thiamin pyrophosphate (TPP) is an essential coenzyme that is synthesised by coupling of pyrimidine and thiazole moieties in bacteria. The previously detected thiamin-regulatory element, thi box was extended, resulting in a new, highly conserved RNA secondary structure, the THI element, which is widely distributed in eubacteria and also occurs in some archaea. RNAcentral also lists the same sequence under 1 other name. Lineage: Bacteria; Bacillati; Bacillota; Clostridia; Lachnospirales; Lachnospiraceae. The record is from Rfam by way of RNAcentral.
UAGCAACAGCAGGGGGACUAUAUGUAGUUGAGAAGGUAAAACCUGACCCUUUGAACCUGUUGGCUAAUACCAACGCAGGGAGCUAAAUGAUACGGUAU